Molecule: non-coding RNA, 85 nt
Organism: Roridomyces roridus
Lineage: Eukaryota; Fungi; Basidiomycota; Agaricomycetes; Agaricales; Mycenaceae
Source: the annotation of a GenBank genome assembly
GAUAGUGUGGCGCAAUGGCCGCGCGCUCGGCUUCGAUUGCCGUUUGUGUACCGAGAGGUUGCAGGUUCGAGUCCUGUCACUGUCG